This 845-nucleotide ribosomal RNA is filed under the name Spizellomyces sp. DHONG. Its description in RNAcentral is "eukaryotic LSU rRNA". It matches the Rfam family "Eukaryotic large subunit ribosomal RNA", at positions 88 to 861 of the family's 3401-position model. Lineage: Eukaryota; Fungi; Chytridiomycota; Chytridiomycetes; Spizellomycetales; Spizellomycetaceae. The record is from RNAcentral.
GGCGAGUGAAGCGGGUAAAGCUCAAAUUUGAAAUCUCACAGGACCUGUGCGAAUUGUAGUUUAGAGAAGCGUUUUCGGGGGCAGCUUGGGUACAAGUCCUUUGGGAUGAGGCAUCAUAGAGGGUGAGAAUCCCGUUUAUGACCCAAUGUCUGCUCCUAUGUGAUACGCUUUCCAAGAGUCAGGUAGUUUGGGAUUGCUGCCUAAAAGGGUGGUAAAUACCAUCUAAAGCUAAAUAUUGGCGAGAGACCGAUAGCGAACAAGUACCGUGAGGGAAAGAUGAAAAGAACUUUGAAAAGAGAGUUAAACAGUACGUGAAAUUGCCAAAAGGGAAACGCUUGGGGCCAGUAUUGCUUGCAGGUAAUCAUCUGCAUGAUCCUGAAAAGGUUAGUGCAGUGCACUUGCUUGCAGGCAGGUCAACAUCAGUUUGGUCUGGGGUAAAAAGCCAGAGGAAGGUAGCUUGGGCUUCGGUCUGAGUGUUAUAGCCUCUGGUCAUGCCUUGGACUGGACUGAGGUCUGCAGCGUCAUUUGGAUACCCGAUCGCCUCCUGAACCUUGUUUUUAGACAGCAUGCUGACUAAGAAGGGAGCCCGGUUGGUUAUCACACCAACGCUUAGGAUGUUGACGAAAUGGCUCCAAACGACCCGUCUUGAAACACGGACCAAGGAGUCUANCAUAUAUGCGAGUAUUUGGGUGGCAAACCNUUAUGCGAAAUGAAAGUGAACUUAGGUGGGAUCUUCGGUGCACCAUCGACCGGNCUGGAUUUUUUUGAUAGAUCUGAGUAAGAGCAUAUCUGUUGGGACCCGAAAGAUGGUGAACUAUGCCUGAAUAGGGUGAAGCCAGAGGAAA